This is a long non-coding RNA of Artibeus jamaicensis (Jamaican fruit-eating bat), 350 nucleotides long. RefSeq lists it as uncharacterized. The transcript has 3 exons. The record is from RefSeq and is a predicted model, not a curated record. Lineage: Eukaryota; Metazoa; Chordata; Mammalia; Chiroptera; Phyllostomidae.
UCCCACUGCAACUCCGACUGCUUUGGUUCCGUGGAGAGUAGUGAGGAAAGAUAGUAUCUGAGAUUGACUGGCUGCCUCACCUGAGAAUUCGCCACGCACAUGGGUUGAUUAUUUCCUCCCUGCUUUGAAAAGUGAAGAAGUUGCAUGGAGGGAGUUAGAGGAUGGAAUACCAGGUUCUCAAACGUCACGAGCUUCGUCUGUGGUCACUUCUCAAAGGCAGUUCACACUGGGAAAUAGGGCUGCCCAGCCUUCCAAGCCCAACCAGGGCACUUGGCUGAAUGUAAGUGGUCGUGGCCAGAUUUUUCCUGAGGCAUCUUCGUACAGAGAAGGUGAAAUCCAGAAGUCAACUC